This 482-nucleotide ribosomal RNA is filed under the name uncultured bacterium. RNAcentral describes it as "SSU rRNA". It matches the Rfam family "Bacterial small subunit ribosomal RNA", at positions 26 to 523 of the family's 1533-position model. The record is from RNAcentral.
AGGACGAACGCUGGCGGCGUGCUUAACACAUGCAAGUCGAGCGGUAAGGCCCUUUCGGGGGUACACGAGCGGCGAACGGGUGAGUAACACGUGGGUGACCUGCCCUUAGCUCUGGGAUAAGCCUGGGAAACUGGGUCUAAUACCGGAUAUGACCUCGCGAUGCAUGUCGUGGGGUGGAAAGCCUUGUGUGGCUAGGGAUGAGCUCGCGGCCUAUCAGCUUGUUGGUGGGGUAAUGGCCUACCAAGGCGACGACGGGUAGCCGGCCUGAGAGGGCGACCGGCCACACUGGGGACUGAGACACGGCCCAGACUCCUACGGGAGGCAGCAGUGGGGAAUAUUGCGCAAUGGGCGAAAGCCUGACGCAGCGACGCCGCGUGGGGGAUGAAGGCCUUCGGGUUGUAACCCCUUUCAGCAGGGACGAAGCGAAGUGACGGUACCUGCAGAAGAAGCGCCGGCUAACUACGUGCCAGCAGCCGCGGUAA